RNAcentral lists this small RNA (224 nucleotides) under Candidatus Kurthia intestinigallinarum. RNAcentral's name for it is "Bacillus sRNA ncr1575". It matches the Rfam family "Bacillus sRNA ncr1575". The record is from RNAcentral. Lineage: Bacteria; Bacillati; Bacillota; Bacilli; Caryophanales; Caryophanaceae.
UAAACGAAAGGAAUGAGGGUGGCCGAUGAAGUAGUCUUAUUUUUUAACGAACGAAGUGAACAAAACUUUGCGUAAAAAAUAGGAUUAGUCUGCCCAAAUUCAAUUUAUACAGAGAAACGUCAUCAGCAUGGCUUUCUUAUACAACCGCUAGAGUGGCGGAGUAUGCCUGAAUUUCAGGAAACACUCUCUGACUAAUCCUUCCAAAAUUUUUUGGAGGGAUUUUU